ACGGCUCAGUAACACGUGGUCAACAUACCCAGAGGACGUGGAUAACCUCGGGAAACUGAGGAUAAACCGCGAUAGACCAUAAUGUCUGGAAUGAUUUAUGGUUCAAAUCUAUAUGGCCUCUGGAUUGGACUGCGGCCGAUCAGGCUGUUGGUGAGGUAAUGGCCCACCAAACCUGAAACCGGUACGGGCUCUGAGAGGAGAAGCCCGGAGAUGGGCACUGAGACAAGGGCCCAGGCCCUAUGGGGCGCAGCAGGCGCGAAACCUUUGCAAUAGGCGAAAGCCUGACAAGGUUACUCUGAGUGAUCUCCGCUAAGGAAAUCUUUUGGCACCUCUAAAAAUGGUGUAGAAUAAGGGGUGGGCAAGCCUGGUGUCAGCCGCCGCGGUAAUACCAGCACCCCGAGUGGUCGGGACGAUUAUUGGGCCUAAAGCAUCCGUAGCCGGUUCUUUAAGUCCUCCGUUAAAUCCACCUGCUUAACAGAUGGGCUGCGGAGGAUACUAUAGAGCUAGGAGGCGGGAGAGGCAAGCGGUACUCAGUGGGUAGGGGUAAAAUCCGUUGAUCCAUUGAAGACCACCAGUGGCGAAGGCGGCUUGCCAGAACGCGCUCGACGGUGAGGGAUGAAAGCUGGGGGAGCAAACCGGAUUAGAUACCCGGGUAGUCCCAGCUGUAAACGAUGCAGACUCGGUGAUGAACAGGCUUCGUGCCUGUUCAGUGCCGCAGGGAAGCCGUUAAGUCUGCCGCCUGGGGAGUACGGUCGCAAGACUGAAACCUAAAGGAAUUGGCGGGGGAGCAC
Molecule: ribosomal RNA, 791 nt
Filed under: uncultured archaeon
Lineage: Archaea
Description: bacterial SSU rRNA
Rfam family: Archaeal small subunit ribosomal RNA
Source: RNAcentral